UUUUUACCCACGACCCACGCCUUUUUACCCACGACCCACGCCUUUUUACCCACGCCCCACGCCUUUUUACCCACGCCUUUUUACCCACGACCCACGCCUUUUUACCCACGACUUACGACUUUUUACCCACGACCCACGACUUUUUACCCACGACCCACGACAUUCUACCCACGACCCACGACUUUUUACCCACGACCCACGACAUUCUACCCACGACCCACGACAUUCUACCCACGACCCACGACCCACGACUGUUAGCUAGUCCCGUGUCAGGAGCGGGUAGGAAUGCCGGUAGUACUGAGCAAUUAAGUGGAGGGUUAUCU
RNAcentral lists this long non-coding RNA (323 nucleotides) under Paramuricea clavata. The record is from RNAcentral. Lineage: Eukaryota; Metazoa; Cnidaria; Anthozoa; Malacalcyonacea; Plexauridae.